This 440-nucleotide ribosomal RNA is filed under the name uncultured bacterium. RNAcentral's name for it is "partial 16S ribosomal RNA". It matches the Rfam family "Bacterial small subunit ribosomal RNA", at positions 338 to 795 of the family's 1533-position model. The record is from RNAcentral.
CCUACGGGUGGCAGCAGUGGGGAAUAUUGCACAAUGGGGGAAACCCUGAUGCAGCGACGCCGCGUGAGUGAAGAAGUAUUUCGGUAUGUAAAGCUCUGUCAGCAGGGAAGAAAAUGACGGUACCUGACCAAGAAGCCUCGGCUAACUACGUGCCAGCAGCCGCGGUAAUACGUAGGGGGCAAGCGUUAUCCGGAUUUACUGGGUGUAAAGGGAGCGUAGACGGCAGGGCAAGUCUGGGGUUAAAGUCGGGGGCUAAACCCCCGGACUGCUCUGGAAACUGCCAGGCUGGAGUGCAGGAGAGGUAAGUGGAAUUCCUAGUGUAGCGGUGAAAUGCGUAGAUAUUAGGAGGAACACCAGUAGCGAAGGCAGCUUACUGGACUGUAACUGACGUGGAGGCUCGAAAGCGUGGGGAGCAAACAGGAUUAGAUACCCGAGUAGUC